AACAAACGCUGGCGGCGUGCCUAACACAUGCAAGUCGUACGAGAAAGUUCGGCUUCGGCCGAUGAGUACAGUGGCGCACGGGUGAGUAGCGCGUGGGUAAUCUGCCCCCCGGUCAGGAAUAACCCGCCGAAAGGCGGGCUAAUACCCGAUAACACUGACGCUCCGCGGAGCGUCUUUCAAAGGAGGCCUCUGUUUACAAGCUUUCGCCGGAGGAUGAGCCCGCGUACCAUUAGCUAGUUGGCAGGGUAAUGGCCUACCAAGGCUGCGAUGGUUAGCUGGUCUGAGAGGAUGGCCAGCCACACUGGAACUGAGACACGGUCCAGACUCCUACGGGAGGCAGCAGUGAGGAAUCUUGCGCAAUGGGGGAAACCCUGACGCAGCAACGCCGCGUGAGUGAGGAAGGCCUUCGGGUCGUAAAGCUCUGUCAGAUGGGAAGAAAUGGGUGGGGGCUAAUAUCGCCCAUCCUUGACGGUACCAUCAGAGGAAGCACCGGCUAACUCCGUG
Molecule: ribosomal RNA, 504 nt
Filed under: uncultured bacterium
Lineage: Bacteria
Description: bacterial SSU rRNA
Rfam family: Bacterial small subunit ribosomal RNA
Source: RNAcentral